This 590-nucleotide ribosomal RNA is filed under the name Alternaria tenuissima. RNAcentral's name for it is "partial large subunit ribosomal RNA". It matches the Rfam family "Eukaryotic large subunit ribosomal RNA", at positions 52 to 657 of the family's 3401-position model. The record is from RNAcentral. Lineage: Eukaryota; Fungi; Ascomycota; Dothideomycetes; Pleosporales; Pleosporaceae.
GGAGGAAAAGAAACCAACAGGGAUUGCCCUAGUAACGGCGAGUGAAGCGGCAACAGCUCAAAUUUGAAAUCUGGCUCUUUUAGAGUCCGAGUUGUAAUUUGCAGAGGGCGCUUUGGCUUUGGCAGCGGUCCAAGUUCCUUGGAACAGGACGUCACAGAGGGUGAGAAUCCCGUACGUGGUCGCUGGCUAUUGCCGUGUAAAGCCCCUUCGACGAGUCGAGUUGUUUGGGAAUGCAGCUCUAAAUGGGAGGUACAUUUCUUCUAAAGCUAAAUAUUGGCCAGAGACCGAUAGCGCACAAGUAGAGUGAUCGAAAGAUGAAAAGCACUUUGGAAAGAGAGUCAAACAGCACGUGAAAUUGUUGAAAGGGAAGCGCUUGCAGCCAGACUUGCUUACAGUUGCUCAUCCGGGUUUUUACCCGGUGCACUCUUCUGUAGGCAGGCCAGCAUCAGUUUGGGCGGUAGGAUAAAGGUCUCUGUCACGUACCUCCUUUCGGGGAGGCCUUAUAGGGGAGACGACAUACUACCAGCCUGGACUGAGGUCCGCGCAUCUGCUAGGAUGCUGGCGUAAUGGCUGUAAGCGGCCCGUCUUGA